RNAcentral lists this ribosomal RNA (450 nucleotides) under uncultured bacterium. RNAcentral's name for it is "bacterial SSU rRNA". It matches the Rfam family "Bacterial small subunit ribosomal RNA", at positions 354 to 796 of the family's 1533-position model. The record is from RNAcentral.
GUGGGGAAUAUUGGACAAUGGGCGAAAGCCUGAUCCAGCCAUGCCGCGUGUGCGAAGAAGGUCUUCGGAUUGUAAAGCACUUUAAGUUGGGAGGAAGGGCAGUAAGUUAAUACCUUGCUGUUUUGACGUUACCGACAGAAUAAGCACCGGCUAACUUCGUGCCAGCAGCCGCGGUAAUACGAAGGGUGCAAGCGUUAAUCGGAAUUACUGGGCGUAAAGCGCGCGUAGGUGGUUUUGUAAGUUGGAGGUGAAAUCCCCGGGCUCAACCUGGGAACUGCCUCCAAAACUGCAUGACUAGAGUACGGUAGAGGGUAGUGGAAUUUCCUGUGUAGCGGUGAAAUGCGUAGAUAUAGGAAGGAACACCAGUGGCGAAGGCGACUACCUGGACUGAUACUGACACUGAGGUGCGAAAGCGUGGGGAGCAAACAGGAUUAGAAACCCUUGUAGUCC